CGUGAAAACACCGAUUCACGUACGAUCACCGAAGUUAAGCAACAUUUGAGCUAAUCAGUACCUAGAUAGGUGACCGCUUGGGAAUACUAGGGGCUGUAAG
Molecule: non-coding RNA, 100 nt
Organism: Acanthosepion pharaonis
Lineage: Eukaryota; Metazoa; Mollusca; Cephalopoda; Sepiida; Sepiidae
Source: the annotation of a GenBank genome assembly